GUGAACGCUGGCGGUAGGCCUAACACAUGCAAGUCGAACGGCAGCACAGUAAGAGCUUGCUCUUACGGGUGGCGAGUGGCGGACGGGUGAGGAAUACAUCGGAAUCUACUUUUUCGUGGGGGAUAACGUAGGGAAACUUACGCUAAUACCGCAUACGACCUACGGGUGAAAGCAGGGGAUCUUCGGACCUUGCGCGAUUGAAUGAGCCGAUGUCGGAUUAGCUAGUUGGCGGGGUAAAGGCCCACCAAGGCGACGAUCCGUAGCUGGUCUGAGAGGAUGAUCAGCCACACUGGAACUGAGACACGGUCCAGACUCCUACGGGAGGCAGCAGUGGGGAAUAUUGGACAAUGGGCGCAAGCCUGAUCCAGCCAUACCGCGCGGGUGAAGAAGGCCUUCGGGUUGUAAAGCCCUUUUGUUGGGAAAGAAAAGCAGCAGGUUAAUACCCCGCUGUUCUGACGGUACCCAAAGAAUAAGCACCGGCUAACUUCGUG
Molecule: ribosomal RNA, 491 nt
Filed under: uncultured bacterium
Lineage: Bacteria
Description: partial 16S ribosomal RNA
Rfam family: Bacterial small subunit ribosomal RNA
Source: RNAcentral